Non-coding RNA from Canis lupus familiaris (dog), 135 nucleotides. Lineage: Eukaryota; Metazoa; Chordata; Mammalia; Carnivora; Canidae. The record is from Rfam.
ACACCUGAAUCUUUUCCAUUUUUUGUUGCUUUGUGCGGGUGUGGGGACAGACAUGCAACAUUAUGAGCAGUGGAAUUCUAGUAGGGUUGUUUUCCUUUUGUCUUGGGGCCUGACUCCAUAGGCCCCCCAACUUGC